Myotis myotis is the source of this 951-nucleotide long non-coding RNA. RefSeq lists it as uncharacterized. The record is from RefSeq and is a predicted model, not a curated record. Lineage: Eukaryota; Metazoa; Chordata; Mammalia; Chiroptera; Vespertilionidae. The transcript has 3 exons.
GACUCUUGCCCAAGCCUGAGACUCUGGGAGGAGGAACUAGUUUGGGAAGGAGAUUAAGUCGCAUUCUGAAUGCGGUGAGUUUGAAGAGAAGAUGAGUCAGGCAGAGGGACAGCAGUAGGUAAGGUUUUCACAAAAGGAUGGGCUGACGUAGCUUCUUUCCAGAGGUCAGAGAAGGAGGUGGCCCCCUCCCUGACCUUAGCUUAGACCCAUCCCUGCUCGGCACAAUGCGCCUCCUUCCAGCUAGUGACCUGAGUGCUCCCUCCUGCCAGUGAGGUGUCCGGGACUUACCUAGGACCACAUCAACACUGGCUCCCUCUAAGGUGUCAGGAACCAGGCAGUGAUGCCCGCGAUGCUGUGAUGUCACCCGGGAGGUUAUUAUUGCCUUAAUAAUAACGAGAAGCCAGGAACCCAAGAAAGAACCUCAUUCACAUGCACCCAGGCUCCUCCUCCAGGAAACCAGAGCCAUCUGAAUGGCAGGAUGUCCUUCUGGGAAGCCAUGUGGGAAGGCGACUGGAGAAGGGACAUCUGGAGGCACAGGGCCGUGAGAGGGGCUGUGCCUUUCCCCUUCCUCUCGGGGUGAAUAUGCCAAGUUUGUUUACAGCUCGGGGACCCGGCCAGCCCCGCUACUAGGGACGGCAGUGGCGACACCUCCUCGCAGGACCCUGACCCUGGUGCUGCUGGAGCCAGAGGGACCUCGGGAGGCGGGAGGCUGGGUCUCUCCCCCUCUGCACAAGUGCUUCCGACGAGGCCCUAACGAAGUGUCUGGUUGGGAAAGUAAACAGAAAGAAGACAAAUAAACAAAGAUGCCCACAGGCAAUUACAGGGAGGAAGUCAUCUUCGGGUGCAAGUCGCUCCGCUGAUGGACAGCAGGCCUGCUUUGCUCAGCGCCCCGGGAACACUUCCGGGUGGGGGGCGCCCAACAACUUGGAGCUUGGCGAGGAGAGACCCCGA